RNAcentral lists this long non-coding RNA (201 nucleotides) under Phoenix dactylifera (date palm). RNAcentral's name for it is "long non-coding RNA (PDAC_LNC006663)". Lineage: Eukaryota; Viridiplantae; Streptophyta; Magnoliopsida; Arecales; Arecaceae. The record is from RNAcentral.
ACUGGAAUAUAGAUUGCAUGAAAGAAGAUUUAAUGUAUUGCAGAACAGAAAUUAAAAUUGCAGAAUAAAUACAACUUUCUACCCAAAUAAACUCUCAAAAAUUAAAACUCAAAAUAAAAUCUAAAAUAAAACUAAAAAUAAGAACAACAUGCUCUGAAACUCAAAACAUAACUUCUCAAUUAAAACUUUCAAUUAAAAUAA